Long non-coding RNA from Columba livia (rock pigeon), 431 nucleotides. RefSeq lists it as uncharacterized. The record is from RefSeq and is a predicted model, not a curated record. The transcript has 3 exons. Lineage: Eukaryota; Metazoa; Chordata; Aves; Columbiformes; Columbidae.
CGCCUCCUCGCGGUAACCGGCGAUCCCCUCGUCCACCGCCAACAGCACCAAACGGUACCGGCCAAACUGGGAGAACCGGGACAGGAAAUGAACCAGAACCGACGAGUCCUUCCCCCCCGACGCGGCCACCGCGAUGACGUCACCGCAACGGGGGACAACGGCGCGGGGAGGGGGGGGGGGCGACCCGAGGGGGGAUGGGGGGGGGACCCCAAUUGGAAUUGGGGGGAUCCCCAGGUUGGGGUUGAUUGGGUAUUGGGGAUAAUGGGAAGACAUUGGGGACCCCCUGAUUGGAAUUGGGGGGGACACCCCAAUUGGAAUUGGGGGGACCCCCAGUUUGGGGCUCAUAGGGGGAUGGGGAUAAUGGGAGGGGAUUGGGGACCCCCUCAUUGGAAUUGGGGGGACAACCAGUUUGGGGUUGAUUGGGUAUUGGG